AAUGAACGCUGGCGGCGUGCGUAACACAUGCAAGUCGAACGUGAAAGUCCCCUUCGGGGGAUGAGUAAAGUGGCAAACGGGUGAGUAACACGUGGGUAACCUGCCCUCUGGUGGGGGAUAACCCUGCGAAAGCGGGGCUAAUACCGCAUAACAAGUCGCUAAAUAAUUAGUCGACUUCAAAGCCUUCGGGCGCUAGAGGAGGGGCCCGCGUCCCAUUAGCUAGUUGGUAGGGUAACGGCCUACCAAGGCUGCGAUGGGUAGCCGGCCUGAGAGGGUGUCCGGCCACACUGGAACUGAGACACGGUCCAGACUCCUACGGGAGGCAGCAGUGGGGAAUUUUGGACAAUGGGCGCAAGCCUGAUCCAGCAAUGCCGCGUGCAGGACGAAGGCCUUCGGGUUGUAAACUGCUUUUGUACGGAACGAAAAGCUUCUGGUUAAUACCUGGGAGUCAUGACGGUACCGUAAGAAUAAGCACCGGCUAACUACGUG
This 489-nucleotide ribosomal RNA is filed under the name uncultured bacterium. RNAcentral describes it as "bacterial SSU rRNA". It matches the Rfam family "Bacterial small subunit ribosomal RNA", at positions 29 to 507 of the family's 1533-position model. The record is from RNAcentral.